This 496-nucleotide ribosomal RNA is filed under the name uncultured bacterium. RNAcentral's name for it is "partial 16S ribosomal RNA". It matches the Rfam family "Bacterial small subunit ribosomal RNA", at positions 28 to 507 of the family's 1533-position model. The record is from RNAcentral.
GAUGAACGCUGGCGGCGUGCCUAAUACAUGCAAGUCGAGCGAACGGACGAGAAGCUUGCUUCUCUGAUGUUAGCGGCGGACGGGUGAGUAGCACGUGGAUAACCUACCUAUAAGACUGGGAUAACUUCGGGAAACCGGAGCUAAUACCGGAUAAUAUUUUGAACCGCAUGGUUCAAAAGUGAAAGACGGUCUUGCUGUCACUUAUAGAUGGAUCCGCGCUGCAUUAGCUAGUUGGUAAGGUAACGGCUUACCAAGGCAACGAUGCAUAGCCGACCUGAGAGGGUGAUCGGCCACAAUGGAACUGAGACACGGUCCAGACUCCUACGGGAGGCAGCAGUAGGGAAUCUUCCGCAAUGGGCGAAAGCCUGACGGAGCAACGCCGCGUGAGUGAUGAAGGUCUUCGGAUCGUAAAACUCUGUUAUUAGGGAAGAACAUAUGUGUAAGUAACUGUGCACAUCUUGACGGUACCUAAUCAGAAAGCCACGGCUACUACGUG